RNAcentral lists this ribosomal RNA (478 nucleotides) under uncultured bacterium. RNAcentral's name for it is "partial 16S ribosomal RNA". It matches the Rfam family "Bacterial small subunit ribosomal RNA", at positions 28 to 507 of the family's 1533-position model. The record is from RNAcentral.
GAUGAACGCUAGCGGCAGGCCUAACACAUGCAAGUCGAGGGAGAAGCCCUUUCGGGGGCGGAGACCGGCGCACGGGAGCGUAACGCGUAUACAACCUUCCUUUCCCCGGGGGAUAGCCCGAAGAACAUUGGAUUAAUACCCCAUCCUAUUAUUGGAUGGCGUCAUUUGAUAAUUAAAACUGCGGUGGUGAAAGAUGGGCAUGCGUCCUAUUAGCUCGUGGGGGUGGUAACGGCAGCCCAAGGCUACGAUAGGUAGGGGUCCUGAGAGGGAGAUCCCUCACACGGGGACCGGCACAGGGACGACAGUGCUACGGCCCGCAGCAGUGAGGGAGAUUGGAGAAUGGACUGAUGCAUGAUCCAGCCAUGCCGGGUGCAGCAAGAACGCCUUAGGGGUUGUAACCUGCUUUUAUAAGGCAGGAAUAAGGUGUACGGGUGCGUUGAUGACGGUAACAGAUGAAUAAGCAUCGGCUAACUCCGUG